GGUUAUAGCUCAGUGGUAGAGCACAUGUCUCGCAUGCAUGAGGCACUGGGUUCAAUACUCAGCACCA
RNAcentral lists this transfer RNA (67 nucleotides) under Marmota monax (woodchuck). RNAcentral's name for it is "tRNA.Ala". It matches the Rfam family "tRNA". Rfam says of the family: Transfer RNA (tRNA) molecules are approximately 80 nucleotides in length. Their secondary structure includes four short double-helical elements and three loops (D, anti-codon, and T loops). Further hydrogen bonds mediate the characteristic L-shaped molecular structure. tRNAs have two regions of fundamental functional importance: the anti-codon, which is responsible for specific mRNA codon recognition, and the 3' end, to which the tRNAs corresponding amino acid is attached (by aminoacyl-tRNA synthetases). tRNAs cope with the degeneracy of the genetic code in two manners: having more than one tRNA (with a specific anti-codon) for a particular amino acid; and 'wobble' base-pairing, i.e. permitting non-standard base-pairing at the 3rd anti-codon position. Lineage: Eukaryota; Metazoa; Chordata; Mammalia; Rodentia; Sciuridae. The record is from RNAcentral.